Molecule: ribosomal RNA, 494 nt
Filed under: uncultured bacterium
Lineage: Bacteria
Description: partial 16S ribosomal RNA
Rfam family: Bacterial small subunit ribosomal RNA
Source: RNAcentral
GACGAACGCUGGCGGCGUGCUUAACACAUGCAAGUCGAACGGUGAAGCGCCUUCCUUUUUGGUGGGUGUGGAUGAGUGGCGAACGGGUGAGUAACACGUGAGUAACCUGCCCCCUUCUUCUGGAUAACCGCAUGAAAGUGUGGCUAAUACGGGAUAUUCUGGGUCUGUCGCAUGAUGGGUCUGGGAAAGAUAUUGUUUCGGUGGGGGAUGGGCUCGCGGCCUAUCAGCUUGUUGGUGGGGUGAUGGCCUACCAAGGCGGUGACGGGUAGCCGGCCUGAGAGGGUGGACGGUCACACUGGGACUGAGACACGGCCCAGACUCCUACGGGAGGCAGCAGUGGGGAAUAGUGCACAAUGGGCGCAAGCCUGAUGCAGCGACGCCGCGUGAGGGAUGGAGGCCUUCGGGUUGUGAACCUCUUUCGCCAGUGAAGCAGGCCUGCCUCGUUUGUGGGUGGGUUGACGGUAGCUGGAGAAGAAGCGCCGGCUAACUACAUG